CCCGGCGGGCCCCGCGCGCGGCUGCGUUUGAAUGGCCCUGAGUGGGGCUCGGCCCGGGAGCCCGGGGACUCUCUAGGCUUCCGGGCGCAGUUGGUCAGCGCCAGGGCUCGACUGAGGCGCCGCGGUACGAUGAGGCGCCGGUAUUUAAGAGAUUAUGGCAUCUGAAACCCACAAUGUUAAAAAACGGAACUUUUAUAAUAAUAUUGAGGAUCAUUCCAUUGAUCGUCCUAGAAAAAGGAUCUCUAAUUUCACUAAUAAGAACAUGAAGGAGGUUAAGAAAUCUCCAAAACAUUUGGCUGCUUACAUAAAUGGAACAGUUGGACACGCUGUUAAAAGCCCAGAUAAACUACGUAAGGUGAUCUACCACAGAAAGAAAGUUCAUUAUCCUUUUCCAAAUUCUUGUUUUAAAAAGAAACAGUCCCCUAGAAGUGGGGGCUGUGACAUGGCAAAUAAAGAAAAUGAACUGGCUUGUGCAGGCCACCCGCCUGAAAAAUUACACCAUGAUAGUCGAACAUAUUUGCUUAACUCCAGUGAUUGUGGUUCUUCACAGACAGAAAGCGCAUCAUCAAAAUACAGUGGUUUUUUUUCUGAGGUUUCUCAGGAUCAUGAAACAAUGGCACAAGUUUUGUUCAGCAGGAAUUUGAGAUUGAAUGUAGCUUUAACUUUCUGGAAAAAGAGAAGUAUAAGUGAACUUGUAGCUUAUUUGGUGAGGAUAGAAGACCUUGGAGUGGUGGUAGAUUGCCUUCCUGUGCUUACCAAUAGUUUACAGGAAGAAAAACAAUACAUCUCACUCGGCUGCUGUGUAGACUUGUUGCCCCUUGUAAAGUCACUACUUAAAAGCAAAUUUGAAGAAUAUAUAAUAGUUGGUUUAAACUGGCUUCAAGCAGUCAUAAAAAGGUGGUGGUCAGAACUCUCGUCCAAAACAGAAAUUAUAAAUGAUGGAAAUAUUCAGAUUUUAAAACAACAAUUAAGCAGAUUGUGGGAACAAGAAAACCAUCUUACUUUGGUUCCAGGAUAUACUGCUAACAUAGCUAAGGAUGUAGAUGCUUAUUUAUUACAGUUGCAUUGAAAGACUUCAUCUACUAAAGAGCAUUUGGUUAUUCAAAACAUCCCUGGACUAUAUGAUUUCCAAACAAGUCUCAUUGGAGAACUGUGAACUAUGAAAGAAAUCAAAACCAUUUUCUUCUAAAGCCACAUAUGAAACCAAUAACAAAACCCUAGCAAUCUACUUCACAUUGAAGUGGAAAAAUAUCCGAAAGGAGCAGCUUCAACUUAAUAAGGUGAAAGUGCACUAUGAAGAUUGUUCACCUUUGCUGCUUUUGGGAUUUACAUGAUUACUUGGCAAGAACUACUGGAUCUUAAUGCAAUCCUUCAUAAGAAUAUACUUUAUACUAUGUGAAAAAAUAAGACAAAACUUAUUACUAGGAAAAGCAAAGACCAAUCAUUACUUUUUUUAAGAUUGUGUUUUAUAAGAAAACACUCAAAUGUGUGCAGCUAUUUUCUUAUGUUGAAAGACUUUAAAAGUUUUAAACAUCCUAGCAAAUAAUUAAUACUAAAAGUUUUUUUGUCCACACUGAAAUACUGUGUAAACAAAAUGCCUUAAUUAUUAAUAAGCCAAUGUAUAUGAUACCAAGAUCUGUUUUUAAAAAAAGUAAAACCAACCAUGCUUCUGGCAUGAAAGUUAUGGAAUUAAAUCAGGGGUUUCCAUUCAUGUGGAAUAUUGUUAAAACUUAUUCCACACCAUCUUUAAAACUUGAGAAUAUGUUUAAUAUCUCUGAAAUCGUUUUGCCAGAAUCGUCAUGUCAUGUAUGUAUGUGUUAUUCUUAUAUAAAAGAAAGAGGUGAAUAU
Myotis lucifugus (little brown bat) is the source of this 1848-nucleotide RNA transcript. It is a transcript of the gene named KATNB1-like protein 1 pseudogene, with no coding region annotated. The transcript has a single exon. NCBI's taxonomy places the organism in Eukaryota, Metazoa, Chordata, Mammalia, Chiroptera, Vespertilionidae. The record is from RefSeq and is a predicted model, not a curated record.